Molecule: ribosomal RNA, 551 nt
Filed under: uncultured Glomus
Lineage: Eukaryota; Fungi; Glomeromycota; Glomeromycetes; Glomerales; Glomeraceae
Description: SSU rRNA
Rfam family: Eukaryotic small subunit ribosomal RNA
Source: RNAcentral
UUGGGAGGGCAAGUCUGGUGCCAGCAGCCGCGGUAAUUCCAGCUCCAAUAGCGUAUAUUAAAGUUGUUGCAGUUAAAAAGCCUCGUAGUUGAAUUUCGGGGUCAGCAGGUUGGUCGUGCCUAUGGUAUGAACUGGCUUCGCUGGUCUCUCCUUUCUGAAGAACUGUAAUGCCAUUAAUUUGGUGUUGCAGGGACACAGGACUGUUACUUUGAAAAAAUUAGAGUGUUUAAAGCAAGCUAACGCUUGAAUACAUUAGCAUGGGAUAAUGAAAUAGGACGUUUGAUCCUAUUUUGUUGGUUUCUAGGAUUGACGUAAUGAUUAAUAGGGAUAGUUGGGGGCAUUAGUAUUCAAUUGUCAGAGGUGAAAUUCUUGGAUUUAUUGAAGACUAACUACUGCGAAAGCAUUUGCCAAGGAUGUUUUCAUUAAUCAAGAACGAAAGUUAGGGGAUCGAAGACGAUCAGAUACCGUCGUAGUCUUAACCAUAAACUAUGCCGACUAGGGAUCGGAUGAUGUUAAUUUUUUAAUGACUCAAUUCGGCGCCUUACGGGAAA